GGGGCACUAGAAGCCAGAGGCAGAGUGGUCAUGGCUAUCCCUUACUGAGUCCUGGCUUGACUAGGCCCAGAUACAUCUUCCAAAGUCAGUGAAUCUUUCCCAGCCUCCGUGGGUGCCCAGGACAAGACCAGCCAGCCCAAGGCGCCUGCUCAAAUGCCCCACAAAAUCAAGAUAUGUAUUCUCAGCUGUCUGUACAGCCAUACCUUUGCCCCACCAUUAUGGACUCCAGCCCUCUGAAACUGACUCCAACGUAGACUGAAGACCAAAACUCUCCAGGGAUCCUCCAGGACUUCAGUGCCACUUUGGAACUACUGAGACAUCCAGCCUCAUGGACUGAACAUUGGAUUCUUGGCCUUCCCAACAUGAAACAACCAUUAUUGGACUACUCUGGCCUCAGCCUGGAAGUAAUUCUAAUAAA
Molecule: long non-coding RNA, 418 nt
Organism: Mesocricetus auratus (golden hamster)
Lineage: Eukaryota; Metazoa; Chordata; Mammalia; Rodentia; Cricetidae
Exons: 3
Source: RefSeq, a predicted model, not a curated record